GUAGGGAAUUUUCCACAAUGGGCGAAAGCCUGAUGGAGCAACGCCGCGUGAACGAUGAAGGUCUUCGGAUUGUAAAGUUCUGUUGUCAGGGACGAAUAAGUACCGUUCGAACAGGGCGGUACCUUGACGGUACCUGACGAGAAAGCCCCGGCUAACUACGUGCCAGCAGCCGCGGUAAUACGUAGGGGGCAAGCGUUGUCCGGAAUUAUUGGGCGUAAAGCGCGCGCAGGCGGUCGGGUAAGUCUGAUGUUAAAGCCCGGGGCUCAACCCCGGUUCGCAUUGGAAACUGCUCGACUUGAGUGCAGAAGAGGAAAGCGGAAUUCCACGUGUAGCGGUGAAAUGCGUAGAGAUGUGGAGGAACACCAGUGGCGAAGGCGGCUUUCUGGUCUGUAACUGACGCUGAGGCGCGAAAGCGUGGGGAGCAAACAGGAUUAGAAACCCCAGUAGUCC
RNAcentral lists this ribosomal RNA (450 nucleotides) under uncultured bacterium. RNAcentral's name for it is "bacterial SSU rRNA". It matches the Rfam family "Bacterial small subunit ribosomal RNA", at positions 354 to 796 of the family's 1533-position model. The record is from RNAcentral.